RNAcentral lists this long non-coding RNA (524 nucleotides) under Monodelphis domestica (gray short-tailed opossum). Its description in RNAcentral is "lncRNA (ENSMODG00000051104.1)". The record is from RNAcentral. Lineage: Eukaryota; Metazoa; Chordata; Mammalia; Didelphimorphia; Didelphidae.
CAGUUCACUCUUCCCAAAUGAAUUAAGAACUUUUAGCAUCUCAUUAUGUCUUUGAUUGAUUUAAAAGUGAUGUCCAGGCCUUGUUCAUAGAGUUUACAUCACUAAUUGAUUGAUUCAAUAACUCAACGAGGUGGUUUCCCAAAGGUAUCAGAAUGUAAAGCAUUUUGUUGGUUAUAUUCAUUAGAGUUGGUGGGAUGUGGGACACUUUAUUACCAUAUAGUAGGCCCUCCUUAUUUAUGGUUUCCUUUUCUGGGGUUUCAGGUAUCACUAUCAACCCUGGAGAACCAGAGGUCAGCUAGCAAGUGCCAGAGACCCCAUCAAAGUGCUUCAGGGAGAAGGCUUGCCUUGGAUCCUCUAAAAGAAAUUGGUUUCCAUAGUAGAAGAUGGAAGUGGCCUCUGGCUUCUUUCUGUGAGGUCUCCUAAAUAGCUGUUAUCCAGAGGUGUAAGUAGAGACUCUUGCUUCAUUGUAAACAUUUAAUAGCAGAUCUGCAACUUGGGACCAUGAACCUUUAUCUUUACCCUCC